CUCGACUUGCUAUAUAUAGGUGGAAGUUUGAAAGAAAAAGGAGCUUACUGGGUUUUUAGAAUUGGAAUAACAUAGGGGAGGGAACUGGGAUUGAAAAAGGAGGAAAAAAAGGUGAAGAAAGUAAGAAGCGGGAAAAAAGUGUGAGAAAAUAGUAGAAGGCAGAGAAGAAAGAAGAAUUCGGAAAAGGUUGAGAAAGCAGAGAAGGGGAAAGAAGGUUUGAAUAGUAUUGGUUUCACACAGCGAAGGUUUGAGAUUUCUUUUGCGGACAUGUGAUUAAAAUAGUUGAAGAGUAGUUGGAAUAGCUCAGAACAAGAUAACCUAAGCAUCAUCAAUAAACACAAGGGAAGGCAAGCUGAGUUGUGGGAGGAAAUUUUGUGCACUGUGAAGGUAAAUGUUUGAUUACUUACACUUACAUUAUUUUUUUUCUACGUUAAUUUGUGGCUGGUUAAACUUGUUGGGUGGAUUAUUAAUGGCGUGUUAUUGGAAUGUGGAAGCUUGUGACAAUCACUUCUAAAAGUUAUAUUAAUGGUGUAUAUGCUUGUAAUGUGGGAAAAAUAUACUAAUUGUGGGAGGAAAUUAUGUGCACUGUGAAGGUAAAGGUUUCAUUACUUUGUAAAGUGGGAAGGAUAUACAAAUUGUGGGAGAAAAUUUUGUGCCCUGUGAAACUAAAGGUUUCAUUACUUAUGCUUACAUUAUUUUUUUUUCUACGUUAAUUUGUGGCUGGCUAAACUUGUUUGGUGGAUUAUUAAUGACGUGUUAUUUGAAUGUGGGAGUUUGUGACAAUCACUUGUACAUGUUAUAUUAAUGGAGUAUAUGCUUGUAAUGUGAGAAAGAUAUACAAAUUGUGGGAGGAAAUUCUGUGUACUGUGAAACCAAAGGUUUCAUUACUUUGUAAUGUGGGAAGGUUAUACAAAUUGUGGGAGGAAAUUUUGUGCACUGUGAAACUAAAAGUUUCAUUACUUUGUAAUGUGGGAAGGAUAUACAAAUUGUGGGAGGAAAUGUUGUGCACUGUGAAACUAAAGGUUUCAUUACUUUCUAAUGUGGAAAGGAUAUACAAAUUGUGGGAGGAAAUUUUGUGCACUGUGAAGCUAAAGUAUUUUGUAAUGUGGGAAGGAUAUACAAAAUAUGGGAGGAAAUUUUGUGCACUGUGAAACUAAAGGUUUCAUUACUUUGUUAUGUGGGAAAUAUAUAUAAAUUGUGGGAGGAAAUUCUGUGCACUGUGAAACUAAAGGUUUCAUUACUUUGUAAUGUGGAAAGGAUAUACAAAUUGUGGGAGGAAAUUCUCUGCACUGUGAAACUAAAGGUUUCAUUACUUACGCUUACAUUAUUUUUUUUCUACGUUAAUUUGUGGCUGGCUAAACUUGUUUGGUGGAUUAUUAAUGACGUGUUAUUGGAAUGUGGGAGUUUGUGACAGUCACUUCUACAAGUUAUAUUAAUGAAGUAUAUGCUUGUAAUGUGGGAAAGAUAUACAAAUUGUAGGAGGAAAUUCUGUGCACUGUGCACUGUGAAACUAAAGGUUUCAUUACUUUUUAAUGUGGAAAGGAUACACAAAUUGUGGGAGGAAAUUUUGUGCACUAUGAGACUAAAGGUUUCAUUACUUUGUAAAGUGGGAAGGAUAUACAAAUUGUGGGAGAAAAUUCUGUGCCCUGUGAAACUAAAGGUUUCAUUACUUACGCUUACAUUAUUUUUUUUUCUACGUUAAUUUGUGGCUGGCUAAAGUUGUUUGGUGGAUUAUUAAUGACGUGUUAUUGGAAUGUGGGAGUUUGUGACAAUGACUUGUACAAGUUAUACUAAUGGAGUAUAUGCUUGUAAUGAGGAAAAGAUAUACAAAUUGUGGGAGGAAAUUCUGUGCAUUGUGAAACCAAAGGUUUCAUUACUUUGUAAUGUGGGAAGGAUAUACAAAUUGUGGGAGGAAAUUUUGUACACUGUGAAACUAAAGAUUUCAUUAUUUGGUGGAUUAUUAAUGACGAGUUAUUGGAAUGUGGGAGUUUGUGAUAGUCACUUCUACAAGUUUUAUUAAUGGUGUAUAUGCUUGUAAUGUGGGAGUGUAUAAACUUUGACAUUUGGGGAGAAUUUGUCUGCUACGCUGUCCUUUAAUUCCUGACAUUUGAGUUUCCUUUCCUUCUAUUUUAAUUUGUUCUUUUACAUACUCGUAAAAUUUUCUCAGCUAUAGAGCCAUGUUAUGUUCAAAAUAAUCUUUCUUUCUUACUUUAUAUGUUUUCCCUAUUAAUUUUGGUUUUUCAUAGUUAUGCUAUUUCUAUCCGAUCAUUCCGUUCUUGUGCUCUGUUAAUUGUAGUUGUCGUGGUUAUUCAUGUGAGGAUUGAGUCCCAUAACGCUUUUCACUUUUAUAAACAUAUAUCAGGGCUUGCACUAUUUGCAUUUAUUUGUUUGCAGCAAGCAGAGACUUCGUUUGGUAUUUCUCUGUCGGUUUGAAUAUUGGAUCAAUCGUGAUAUUGGGAGAGCUAGCAUAUUUGCACCUUAAAAUUAAAGAAUUAAUUUAUUUGAUGAGUUUCUGAAUUUGAUGGAGAAACAAGUUAGUUAUAUAGGGAAUGUGGGAGUACUUUUUUUUUUGUUCAAUUGUUUAGUGUUUAUUGUUUUCUUAAUUAUUCUCCAUUACUUGGGCUCUAUAGGGAAGACUUAUUAUGAAUGUUUGUUAGGUCGUGGAGGCUAUGGCAGUUGAUUAUUGGACUUCUUGUGAGGCUUUAGGUUUUAUCUUUAUGUUCGAAUUGGAAUUGCUUUAGUCUCUCUUGUUUGUUGAAUAGGAAGGUAUGUAUGUCUGUCAAUUUUGUGGUGCUGAUUCUUGAUGCAACGAAUUGGAAGAAGAUUUAGAACUGCUAACGACUCAGGUUAUUUUAUUUCUGACAAAUCCAGGAGUUGAUUGAACUGUUUGCAUUCAUAGCAUUAACAUCUCAAGAUAACCUAAUUUCUUUUACGUGUUUUUUCUACUAUUAUUUGAGAUUGCUAUAGUUGACCACCGAACAUUAGGAUCGAGUUGAUAUUUGUUUCUUUGUAGCAGGGUUUGAUUUAGUUUCCUGUCAUGACUUGUAUCUCGUAGAGUCUGUUAUGAUUGACUAUGUUGUCUCUAUUGUUUUUGAAGUCUAUAAUUUAUUAUUCAUCAUU
Molecule: long non-coding RNA, 3120 nt
Organism: Vigna angularis (adzuki bean)
Lineage: Eukaryota; Viridiplantae; Streptophyta; Magnoliopsida; Fabales; Fabaceae
Exons: 3
Source: RefSeq, a predicted model, not a curated record